Tetranychus urticae (two-spotted spider mite) is the source of this 1093-nucleotide long non-coding RNA. RefSeq lists it as uncharacterized. The record is from RefSeq and is a predicted model, not a curated record. NCBI's taxonomy places the organism in Eukaryota, Metazoa, Arthropoda, Arachnida, Trombidiformes, Tetranychidae.
AUUAUAUCUUUUGCAUUGAAAAGAGCCUUUUCUUGAGCGAAUGCAGAGAUAUAAAAAUGUAAUGUUAUGGUCAUUCAAAAAUUUUCCGAAAUUUACACAAAAAUUUAGCUAAUUAGCAUCUUUUAAAUGUCUUAAAUCAUAUCGAUAUUUUUUUCAGUUUAUCGAUGAUAUUUUUUGUAAAAAUAUCGAUAUAUAUCAUCGAUUUCGAUAAUAUCGCCCAACUCUAUUGCUUGGUUCAAGCCAUUUUCAUUGCUUUUUUUACUUUUUACUUGUGUUUUACCCUAAAUUAACCCAAAAUUUGAAAGCCAAAUGAGAGGAUUGACAAAAUAAUAAAAGUUAGGAACCAUUGGCAGGUUGUUAUGAAUAUCCAAUUACUCACAAUGAAUACAUUUAAACAAGAUCCUCGUAAACAAUUUGUUGCUCUUCACCAUUUUUAUCCUCUCUGAUUUGGCUGAGUUUUUAUCUCUCUUCACUGUUAACUUCAAAGAUGAGGAUGAUUGUGUGUAAGAUGAUCUCAUGUUUUAAAGGAAAGGCUGAUUUCUUAGGAAAAAGACAAAAUCAACUAUCGAAGGCAAAGGGACACGAAAAAAGCAAAGGAUGAUGAGAAAGAUGAGGACGCAUGAUGAAGAUGAUAAUGAUGGACAAUCUAAAAUAAACCAAAUACACGCAAGUAAACAAGCAAGCAAGCCAGGAAGAGAAAAGAGCUAAAAAUAAUCAUAAAAAUGACCCUUAACCUCGACUAUUUAACCUUUUGUUUGAUCGUUAAACUCAGUGGCAAUUGUGAUAAAGAGGCUGAUCCAGUUUGGUCUGACGGUGCUAAUAAACAAUAAAUAUGUUGAUGGCGAUUCGUGGAAGGAAACACACAGCAAAACAUUGGAAACACACAAAGCGCUCAACAAGCCAAACUAAGAAUUGAACUGAUGUUUAUUGCAAUCAUAAAAUUUGAACUAGUUUGUUGUUGCCAAAAAACAAAUGAUUAUAUUUCAAAGGAAAGUUUAGCAAAAGAUUUGUAAUUUAUUUAAUUACUAUCAGAUUGGUUUCACUCUAAUUAGUGUAUAAUAUAUAUUAUACAUUAAAUAAGUUUACGAUUCAA